Molecule: ribosomal RNA, 309 nt
Filed under: Lethrus bituberculatus
Lineage: Eukaryota; Metazoa; Arthropoda; Insecta; Coleoptera; Geotrupidae
Description: partial 16S ribosomal RNA
Source: RNAcentral
UUUUGACUGUGCAAAGGUAGCAUAAUAAUUAGUUUUUUAAUUGAGAACUGGUAUGAAUGGUUGAACAAGGAAAAUUCUGUCUCUAUUUUAUUUUUAUUAGAAAUUUAUUUUUAAGUUAAAAAGCUUAGAUUUAUUUAAAAGACGAGAAGACCCUAUAGAGUUUUAUAUAAUUUAUAUAUUAUAAUAUGAAGUAUUUAAUUUUUAUUUUAUAGAUUGUAUUUAGUUGGGGUGACUUAAAAAUAUAAUUAACUUUUUAUUUAUAUAAACAUUUAUUUAUGAAUAUUUGAUCCAUUAUUUAUGAUAAAAGAU